UUUCGAAAGCCUAUUAUUCGAAGGAUAUUCAUGUAAACGUCUUCAAACUUUGUAUACUUACUAAUUUUGAGGUGGUCUUUUUAGUGAUUUGAUUCAUUUCUUAAUUUGGGCACUUUUUAACAUUCGUGCCCAGUCCACUCAUCAACUUCGGAAUGGCUAAUCGUUUCACGUUCAGCAAAAUAAUUAAAUAGGUCAACAUUAACGUCAACCUCAAUAAUUUGUGCUCUUUUAAUAAUACUUAGAAUUAAGGCAAUUGUUUGGUUCAUUUUUCGUCUGCUAAACUAAACGAAACACUGGCAACAUAGUUUAGGCUAGUGCGUGACACAGGCUGCAACAUUUGCAUGAUGCUAAGAUACGAAAAAGAUGACCAUAUUUCCUUUGUUUCAUUAACGUUAGUCUAGUUUUAUUCAUUUUUGUCAUAAAAUAUCACUUUGUGGAAGUAAUUUUACACCAUAUUAAAUUUGUUGUGAUAACAAUGGCGUCAUGAAUAUAUACAUUACUUUGAUGUGGAAAACCCUUUAUAAAUUAAAUUCAGAGCCGUUCCUAGACGCGAUAACUGGGGGGCGGGUGUAUAUUAAUAUAUUCGUGUUCUGCCCGACGGAUUUCUUUUGAAAGCGAUUGUCCCCCUCCCCCAAAUUAUCGCGUCUAGUUACGGCGCUGAUUAAAUUGUGUCUUUGGGAGAAGUACAUUACACUAUCACACGUGGAUCAACGCAUACUUUGGUUAAAAGAAACUUUUUACACUGCAAAGCAUUAUUGCGAGGUUCAUGAAUUGCUGGCUCGUGUUCUUGUUUUGUCUUACACCACAACACGCAGGGCCGUAACUAGACGCGAUAAAGGGG
This is a non-coding RNA of Paramuricea clavata, 841 nucleotides long. The record is from the annotation of a GenBank genome assembly. Lineage: Eukaryota; Metazoa; Cnidaria; Anthozoa; Malacalcyonacea; Plexauridae.